Molecule: small RNA, 118 nt
Organism: Streptomyces nodosus
Lineage: Bacteria; Bacillati; Actinomycetota; Actinomycetes; Kitasatosporales; Streptomycetaceae
Rfam family: Streptomyces-metK RNA
Source: Rfam
GCGAGACACGUGGGCCGGUGGCCGAGUGCGACCGAUAAACUGUUCUCCGGACGACCCCGGGCGCAGCCCCCGUCCCGUCCGCCAAUGAUCAGCCAGCAGCCGCUGCAACCCCAGGGAG